RNAcentral lists this ribosomal RNA (433 nucleotides) under uncultured bacterium. RNAcentral describes it as "partial 16S ribosomal RNA". It matches the Rfam family "Bacterial small subunit ribosomal RNA", at positions 29 to 507 of the family's 1533-position model. The record is from RNAcentral.
AGCGAAUGCUGGCGGCAGGCCUAACACAUGCAAGUCGAACGAACCUUUCGGGGUUAGUGGCGGACGGGUGAGUAACACGUGGGAACUGGCCUUUAGGUUCGGAAUAAUUCAGGGAAACUUGUGCUAAUACCGAAUGUGCCCUUCGGGGGAAAGAUUUAUCGCCUUUUUAGCGGCCCGUGUCUGAUUAGCUGGUUGGUUGAGGUAUUGCCUCACCAAGGCGACGAUCAGUACCUGGGCGGGGAGCGGGAUCAGCACCAUUGGGUUUGGGCCCAGGCCCAAACACGAGGGGGGGGCGGGGGAGGGGACUCUUGGGCAGGGGGCGAAAGCCUGACACGCCCCGUCCGGGUGAAUGAUGAUGGUCUUGGAAUUCUAAAAUUCUUUCACCGGGGACGUAAUGACGGUACCCGGAGAAGAAGCCCCGGCUAACUUCGUG